This is a long non-coding RNA of Gallus gallus (chicken), 2074 nucleotides long. RefSeq lists it as uncharacterized. The transcript has 3 exons. The record is from RefSeq and is a predicted model, not a curated record. NCBI's taxonomy places the organism in Eukaryota, Metazoa, Chordata, Aves, Galliformes, Phasianidae.
GCCUCUCAGCCUCCGCAGCUGCGUGAAAGGCCGCUGAGAGCGCCAGGCGUUUGGCCGCGCGGGUUGACAGGCAGCGAUGUAGUGCUUCCAUAAGGAUUGGGAUGUGUGGCUGGGACGCACAGCUGUUAUUUCUGCAGUUUCAAAAUGAAUAUAUUUCCUUUCACCGUCUCUCACAAAAGGCUGUCAGGAGCGGUGCUGGCGCUGCGUGUCCUGACUCGGUGCAGCACAGCCUGAAGCCAUCACUCAGAGUGGCUUCCCCGGCCAGGACCGAACGUUCCCAGACACUGCUUCACGGUGCGACCUGUGGGCACACGGCCUUGGCCGGAUUCAGCACAAUCCCCCGUUUUCCAGAUGCCCCCAUGUUCACAAAUAACAUACGCCCGUAUGGCUCCAAUCCACACACGGGUCAAGCUCUGUCUCAAAGCGAAUGGAUAUUGGUAACAAACGCGCCGCCUGCUCUCCUGGCCCUGCUUCUGGGCAAGCACACAACGAGAGACACCCCAGCUCUAAACGUAGGAGCCGGGACCACUGAUUUGGUGGUGACGGGUGCUGUGAGCACACAGAGCCCCUUUGGCAGAGGCCGGGCUCUGUGCUGCGUGCCCUGCAGCUCUGCGUGGCCCCGAACUGCGCCCUGCGGCCUGCGCUGCUCCUCACCGCUGAGCUGAUUGCCCGUUGAUCCUCCGCUCCUUCAGCGAUGACGAUCAGCUUUUGAACUGCCGUAAAUGAGGCCAAUCAGCAUUACUUUCGUUUCAUUACUUCAAGAGCUUACUCAUAAAUUUCCUCUUAUCCUGCUUCCCCUUUGGUCUGGAAUUAGCCACCGUACUUGGUAGGAGCUGCCGUACCCAGUUCUCCUCAACUGGAGCCGUUUGAUCUUUCCCAGGUUUAGCGAUCAACGAGCAAACACGCUUUGCCUUGCUUGAUUUAAAGAAAUACACCUUCUUCUCCAUUUUUCUUGGCACUGCACGUGCCGUGCCACUGGUGAAGUACGGAACGAGCUGCAGCACUUAACUGACCUCAGUAUAAUACGGGAGAGAAUGAAUUGGCAAUGAGUCUGUAAAAUAAUUAACAACAUCUUUCAUUUAGCGGUGUGAAUUUUAUUACUUGGACGUUAAAACACGAGGAUGGAUUUCAUUGCAGGCUAAGGGGUGUUUUCCCCCGGUAUUACCGGGCAGCCCACAGCUCACUGCGUGGCAGAGGUGGGACAGCUUUAAAGCUACAACCUUCUGGGGUAAAAACCCCACGUACUCCUCAAAAGAUGCAACAGGAAUGUGAAACUAUUUGUGUAAGCACCCUUGUAGCCAGUGCUGGGCUAACUCCUCCUCCUCCAGCUGCCAUGGGAAAGGUAUUUGAGAGCCAUUUGGAGGCACUCGCUGCCUUUCAGGCUCCAUCCACCCUCACUUUUGGGGAAAAGCCAUUUCCGAACUAAACAUAAAUGGUUUCACCUGUGAUAAAUAACAGUUUUUUUCUUGAGAUGCUUCAAUUCAUGGCACCUGGAGGACACCAAAGCUCCCCAUAAAAGUGUACUGUGUGCUUGUGGAUGCUUUUGGGGCCUGAGCUCUUGCUUUGCACCUCCUUGUUUUGUAGUUCCUGCCUUGGAGCAGACCCAAGGCAAGCAAUUAUUGUUUCUGCUGCUGUGCCUUUCUCCUGGUGGCUGGAGAAGCAAGGCAAGGCGUAAUCUCAUCUUUUCUCUGCACGGAUCUACAAGCCCGUGGGGAGUCCUCUGAAACAGAAAAGCACCCCUGCUGGGUCCUGCCCAGUGCUGCUGCUGCUGCCGUCCUCCCGGACUGUCUGUGCGAAGGAGCGACUGUGGUCGGAGGCCUUCUGGGAGAGGUCCAGGCGGAGGCUGGGGGAGGAAGGAGGAUGUGCACGGAUUAUCCCGCUUGAACUGAGACAACUGGCAGCCAUAUGUAAGAUGGAAGCAAAUCCCUAAUGUACAUGUAAGGAAGAUGGGCCUUUCUGCCACCAUCUUACAACACAUCUGUGAGUACCUGCAGGGGAGAAGGAAGAAUAUAGGCAUGCCCAUUCAAUCGAGGGAAAGGUGUAGCUGUAAAUGCAAGGCCUAUGUGUAACUGAA